AGAGUUUGAUCAUGGCUCAGGAUGAACGCUAGCUACAGGCUUAACACAUGCAAGUCGAGGGGAAACGACAUCGAAAGCUUGCUUUUGAUGGGCGUCGACCGGCGCACGGGUGAGUAACGCGUAUCCAACCUGCCCACCACUUGGGGAUAACCUUGCGAAAGUAAGACUAAUACCCAAUGACGUCUCUAGAAGACAUCUGAAGGAGAUUAAAGAUUUAUCGGUGAUGGAUGGGGAUGCGUCUGAUUAGCUUGUUGGCGGGGUAACGGCCACCAAGGCGACGAUCAGUAGGGGCUCUGAGAGGAACGGUCCCCCACAUUGGAACUGAGACACGGUACCAAACUCCGUACGGGAGGCA
RNAcentral lists this ribosomal RNA (355 nucleotides) under uncultured bacterium. RNAcentral describes it as "bacterial SSU rRNA". It matches the Rfam family "Bacterial small subunit ribosomal RNA", at positions 8 to 350 of the family's 1533-position model. The record is from RNAcentral.